GGAGACCAAAAAUAUACAUGAAAUUUGAAUCAAAAUAAGAAGAAGGAAGAAGUCAGCAGCAGUAAACAGUAGCCAACAGCAAGCAAGCUACAACCAGCAGGUGCUUUGCACUAAUUUUAACCCAGAAAUGAUAUCUCAAUAAACCAGCGGUUAAUUUCAAAUGAAAAACAUCAGUGAACACCCAAAGCUAGCUCAAAUGAACUUAUUCAAACUGGAAAUUGAAUUUCAGCAUCUAAAGCUUCGAGAUAACUCUACAAAUUCAAUGGAACAGUUGAUUUUUGGGAGUUUUUAGGCUAUCUGAAGAUUUCAGUAUAUUUCCAGUGCUUCCUUUCUUUUUC
Molecule: long non-coding RNA, 338 nt
Filed under: Nicotiana benthamiana
Lineage: Eukaryota; Viridiplantae; Streptophyta; Magnoliopsida; Solanales; Solanaceae
Description: long non-coding RNA (NBEN_LNC003708)
Source: RNAcentral